Molecule: ribosomal RNA, 468 nt
Filed under: uncultured bacterium
Lineage: Bacteria
Description: partial 16S ribosomal RNA
Rfam family: Bacterial small subunit ribosomal RNA
Source: RNAcentral
GACGAACGCUGGCGGCGUGCUUAACACAUGCAAGUCGAACGGUGAAGCUCCAGCUUGCUGGAGUGGAUCAGUGGCGAACGGGUGAGUAGCACGUGAGCAACCUGCCCCUGACUCUGGAAUAAGCGCUGGAAACGGCGUCUAAUACUGGAUACGAGAAGGGUCCGCAUGGGCACUUUCUGGAAAGUUUUUCGGUUGGGGAUGGGCUCGCGGCCUAUCAGCUUGUUGGUGAGGUAAUGGCUCACCAAGGCGACGACGGGUAGCCGGCCUGAGAGGGCGACCGGCCACACUGGGACUGAGACACGGCCCAGACUCCUACGGGAGGCAGCAGUGGGGAAUAUUGCACAAUGGGCGAAAGCCUGAUGCAGCGACGCCGCGUGAGGGAUGACGGCCUUCGGGUUGUAAACCUCUUUCAGCAGGGAAGAAGCGAAAGUGACGGUACCUGCAGAAGAAGCACCGGCUAACUACGUG